ACACAAAAUGAGGGCACUUCCC
This 22-nucleotide microRNA is filed under the name Canis lupus familiaris (dog). RNAcentral describes it as "Cfa-Mir-430-P7d1_5p* (star (passenger))". The record is from RNAcentral. Lineage: Eukaryota; Metazoa; Chordata; Mammalia; Carnivora; Canidae.